Molecule: ribosomal RNA, 745 nt
Filed under: uncultured fungus
Lineage: Eukaryota; Fungi
Description: eukaryotic LSU rRNA
Rfam family: 5.8S ribosomal RNA (bases 186-340)
Source: RNAcentral
GGGUUGUUGCUGGCCCCCAAAAGGGGCACGUGCACGCUCUGUUUACACAUCCACUCACACCUGUGCACCCUCUGUAGUUCUGUGGAUCGGGAGACGUCGUCUUCCUUCUGCGGCUCUACUUCUUUACACACACACUGUAGCGAAGUCUCAUGGAAUGUUUUUUCGCGUUUAACGCAAUACAAUACAACUUUCAGCAACGGAUCUCUUGGCUCUCGCAUCGAUGAAGAACGCAGCGAAAUGCGAUAAGUAAUGUGAAUUGCAGAAUUCAGUGAAUCAUCGAAUCUUUGAACGCACCUUGCGCCCCUUGGUUAUUCCUCGGGGCAUGCCUGUUUGAGUAUCAUGAACAUCUCAACUCUCAUGGUCUUCCGUGAUGAGCUUGGACUUUGGGGGUUUGCUGGCCCUGUGGCCGGCUCCUCUCAAAUGGAUCAGCUUGCCAGUGUUUGGCGGCGUCACGGGUGUGAUAACUAUCUACGCCCGCGGCCGUCUGUCAGGUAACCCUCAGCGAUGAAGGUUCAUUGGGGCUCACAAAUGUCUCUCCCCGGCGAGGACAACUUUUGAACGUUCGAUCUCAAAUCAGGUAGGACUACCCGCUGAACUUAAGCAUAUCAAUAAGCGGAGGAAAAGAAACUAACAAGGAUUCCCCUAGUAACUGCGAGUGAAGCGGGAAGAGCUCAAAUUUAAAAUCUGGCGUGCCUUUGGUCGUCCGAAUUGUAGUCUGGAGAAGCGUUUUCGGCGCUGGACCGUG